Molecule: long non-coding RNA, 1047 nt
Filed under: Anser brachyrhynchus (Pink-footed goose)
Lineage: Eukaryota; Metazoa; Chordata; Aves; Anseriformes; Anatidae
Description: lncRNA (ENSABRG00000005812.1)
Source: RNAcentral
GCCUCAGACCGACGGCCCCCUCCCAGCGGCGGUGCCGAGCCCUCAGGCCGCUGCGGGCACCAGCCUCGGCGAGGGCAACGCGCCCGAGGGGUCCCCGGCGGGGCAACACCGCCCGCCCCGAGCCCCGGCUCCCCCAAACCCCCCCUCCCAGGGCCCGGCACCCCUCAGGACUCCCCGCCGGGCCGGUGCCGAGCCCCCCGCUGUGCCCCGGCCCCGCCGUGCGCCCCCUGCCCCCGCCGGCCCGGCCUCACCUCCGCGGGCGUCCCGGCAACCUCCCGCCCCCCCGCGCAGCGCCGCCGCCAUCUUAGGGCUGCGAGGGCCCGGCUACGGGCAGCGCGGAGGCUCAAACGGCGCCGCCCGGGCGCUGCCAGAGCCCCGGGCCCGGCCCCGGCCCGUGGGAGGGGUGCGGCGCUCCCUGGAGGCCGGGGCGAGGUGUUCGUGGAGGAACGGGCACCUCCGCCGCUCUCCCCGCCGUUAGAGGGGCCGGAGCUGGGGGUGCUGCGUUCCCACCCGCAGCCCCCGCCGUCCCACGCAGGGAGAGUUCAGCAGUGGGUUGAUAGGAGGGAAAGCACGUCCUCCCCUACACACACACACACACACAAAAUGGAAGGCUGGUGGGGUGGAAGGAGGGAAAGCAAACAGACACGCGCCCGGAGUCAGCCUGCAGGUGCUUGGGACACACAAGAGGGAAGGCAGUGUGGAAAUGAGGAGGGAUGCCUCCCAUCCUUCACCAGCAGCACCAUUCUGCAAGGCCACAGGACGCAGAUCCCAGCCAGACUCGUACCUCCCAAACAAAAGCUGCCUCCCCCUGCUUUAUACAAAAUGCAAUCUGCGUUUCAUUCACAGCACUGCCUUGGCAAGCGCAGCCAGGUGGGUGGGAGGAGGAAGCUCAUAGACCUUAACAGGGCCAUUGCUUACACAGGCACAUCAGGGGUAGCUGAGCUGGAAGUGCAGACAGCCGCCACACAGCGGCUCCUUGAACUGCCAGAGGGCUGGCUUCCUGCAGGUUUAUGGCCCUCCUUCCUGGAAUCCCUUCACCGUGGGUAA